Molecule: non-coding RNA, 86 nt
Filed under: unclassified sequences
Description: c-di-GMP sequence
Rfam family: c-di-GMP-II-GAG riboswitch aptamer
Source: Rfam by way of RNAcentral
GACACGAGGGCAGCGAUGACCCGCCGGGCGAUCUGUGGUCGCCAUGUGCCCGGCGUCGAGCAGUGGCGCGCCCGGGCCGUCAGAUC